Molecule: transfer RNA, 89 nt
Filed under: Nitrososphaerota archaeon
Lineage: Archaea; Thermoproteati; Nitrososphaerota
Description: Thaumarchaeota archaeon tRNA-Asp
Rfam family: tRNA
About the family: Transfer RNA (tRNA) molecules are approximately 80 nucleotides in length. Their secondary structure includes four short double-helical elements and three loops (D, anti-codon, and T loops). Further hydrogen bonds mediate the characteristic L-shaped molecular structure. tRNAs have two regions of fundamental functional importance: the anti-codon, which is responsible for specific mRNA codon recognition, and the 3' end, to which the tRNAs corresponding amino acid is attached (by aminoacyl-tRNA synthetases). tRNAs cope with the degeneracy of the genetic code in two manners: having more than one tRNA (with a specific anti-codon) for a particular amino acid; and 'wobble' base-pairing, i.e. permitting non-standard base-pairing at the 3rd anti-codon position.
Source: RNAcentral
GUCGGCGUCGCACAGUCCGGAAGUGCGGGAGCCUGUCAAUCUCUUAACUGAGUACCUCAGUUUCGUGGGUUCAAAUCCCACCGCCGACG